UACAGAGGUGGCAAGCGUUGUUCGGAAUUACUGGGCGUAAAGGGCGCGUAGGCGGCCUUCUAAGUCAGACGUGAAAUCCCCCGGCUUAACCUGGGAACUGCGUCUGAUACUGGAGGGCUUGAGUGCGGGAGAGGGAUGUGGAAUUCCAGGUGUAGCGGUGAAAUGCGUAGAUAUCUGGAGGAACACCAGUGGCGCAAGCGGCUGACUGGCCGAGACCUGACGCUGAGACGCGACGGCGUGGGGAGCAAACCGG
RNAcentral lists this ribosomal RNA (253 nucleotides) under uncultured bacterium. Its description in RNAcentral is "partial 16S ribosomal RNA". It matches the Rfam family "Bacterial small subunit ribosomal RNA", at positions 524 to 776 of the family's 1533-position model. The record is from RNAcentral.